UGGGGAAUAUUGCACAAUGGGCGCAAGCCUGAUGCAGCCAUGCCGCGUGUGUGAAGAAGGCCUUCGGGUUGUAAAGCACUUUCAGCGAGGAGGAAGGUGGUGAACUUAAUACGUUCAUCAAUUGACGUUACUCGCAGAAGAAGCACCGGCUAACUCCGUGCCAGCAGCCGCGGUAAUACGGAGGGUGCAAGCGUUAAUCGGAAUUACUGGGCGUAAAGCGCACGCAGGCGGUUUGUUAAGUCAGAUGUGAAAUCCCCGGGCUCAACCUGGGAACUGCAUUUGAAACUGGCAAGCUAGAGUCUCGUAGAGGGGGGUAGAAUUCCAGGUGUAGCGGUGAAAUGCGUAGAGAUCUGGAGGAAUACCGGUGGCGAAGGCGGCCCCCUGGACGAAGACUGACGCUCAGGUGCGAAAGCGUGGGGCAGCAAACAGGAUUAGAUACCCUGGUAGUCCAGCGCUGUAAACGAUGUCGAUUUUGGAGGUUGUGCCCUUGAGGCGUGGCUUCCGGAGCUAACGCGUUAAAGUCGACCGCCUGGGGAGUACGGCGCAAGGUU
Molecule: ribosomal RNA, 551 nt
Filed under: uncultured bacterium
Lineage: Bacteria
Description: partial 16S ribosomal RNA
Rfam family: Bacterial small subunit ribosomal RNA
Source: RNAcentral